Molecule: non-coding RNA, 1324 nt
Organism: Caenorhabditis elegans
Lineage: Eukaryota; Metazoa; Nematoda; Chromadorea; Rhabditida; Rhabditidae
Gene: Y71G12B.44
Product: ncRNA
Source: Ensembl
GCCGUAAAUAUAAGGUCUCGAAACGAUAAAUGUUUUUUUAAUACAACUGGGUGUGCGCCUUUAAAAGUAGUACUGUAAUUUGAACUCAGUGGAAAUUUUUUUCGAUUUUUUUUUAUCUUAACAAAUGUAUAUAUUUUUUAAGUAACUAUAGAUUCUUCUUUUUUCCUAAAGGAAAAAUCUAUUUAUUUAUGCAAAAAAAUUCAGCUGAAUUGAAAUUAUAGUACUCUUUAAAGGCACACACCUUUUUGUAUUUAACAAAAAUGUUUCGUGUCGAGAGCCAAUUUUUGUGGAAAAAUCGCAACAUUUCGCCUCUGGGUAAUGGCACGUGGUGUCAGGUUGUCCCAUUGCGGUUUGAUCUACAAAAAAUGCGAGAAUUUUUCGCCCAGAAAAAUGUGACGUCAGCACUUCCCUAACCAUGCAAAAUUAGCUGAGAAGUCAGCGUCUUUUUUCCCGCAUUUUUCGUAGAUCUACGUAGAUCAAACCGAAAUGGGGCACUCUGACACCAUGUGUAAUAUUGAAAAAACCCGUUGGGUCCAAACCAAAAAAGUUCAAGGCCCAGAGAGUUUCUCACGUACCGGAAACCAAUUUCCCACUCUAUUAGAACAUUCUUGUUCUAUUUUUGACUUUCUCGAAAUUCUCAUCUUUGAACCCCCUUACGUUUCCAUAGCUAUCGCACUCUGUGCCGGGCACACUUUAUUCGUAUCGAUUCGUAAUUUGUCGGGCCUCUUCGCAGCUGGUGUAGAGAUCUUUUGAAACCCAUUUAUCUGAUUCUUGCCAUCUGCUGCUGCUGCUGCUGCUAUUACUGCUAUUUCCUUUGUUGUAACCUCGACUGGCGGUGGCGCUGGUUCUUCCACUUUUGGCAGUUGUUGUACCUGCUUUGGUGUUCUGCCACGACUGUAACAAAUUCAAUUUAGUCCUAUAGUUGCCGCCUAGUUGUGUGACCUUGCCCGUCGCAAUCGACUUGAAGUCUUGUGGUAGACGUAGAGAAUGAAGCACGUGACACAACACAUUAAAAGCAUACUUGCAGCUAGGCAAGCGAUGAUUAUUUCCGCUACUGUAGAACCAAAAUUGACUUUCAGUUUCAUGUCUCACCACUUACCAGCCAUCUUAUUCGAGAUCUCCGUAAAUUACAGUAGCAGAUCUACGUAGAUCAAAUUAGAGCGAAAUAGUUGUCGUUAUGUCAGUCAACAAUGUUUCGAGAUUCACUCGCAACAUUUUGUAUGUGUGUUUGUAGACGACGUGAUGGAUCUAAGCCGAUUAUAUCCAACUCUAAACAACAAAUAUAUCUCGUUAUUGUUGUGGUGAAGAUUAUUGAGAACCCGUU